This 887-nucleotide long non-coding RNA is filed under the name Physcomitrium patens. RNAcentral describes it as "long non-coding RNA (PPAT_LNC014517)". Lineage: Eukaryota; Viridiplantae; Streptophyta; Bryopsida; Funariales; Funariaceae. The record is from RNAcentral.
CCGCGACGACGGCCUUCGAGAUCCGAUGCUGGUCAUGCUACGAGCUUCUGAUGUGAUCGCUUUUAAGGAUAACGAAGAACAACGUGCAUUAAUGAGCACAUGGGUUCAAUGAAAACCGGUGUUCCUCGAGCCUGGAAUACUUUGUUACGUUUGUUCGGAUAGCACACCCGGCACUUCUACACAAAGCUGUAACCAAUUCAAUCGGGAAACCAUGGUAAACUUGAAUGAUUUUUUUGAAGUAAGAGAAGGAAGUGUUUUGAUUCAUUUAGAACGUGUAAUUUGAACGAAUUGAAAAGAUUCUGUUGCAGUAGACACAUCCCCUUGCAAGCUCAUCAUGUUUUCAGAGUAACGUAACAUGAUUUGAUUUUCAAACUCACGUUUUGUGGCAAUUUCAUUAAGUUGUUUUUAAGAAAAUUUUGAGUUAUGGCAUGUGGAGUGUAAAGGUGCAAAGAUAAAAUAAUCAUUUGUUAGUUCGUAGUUUUGAUUAACCAAAUCCAUUCUGUAAAGAUUUUAUUUUAAAUUUGAUCCACUUAAAUAAACGGAUUAUAACUAAAGAGAUAUAUUUGUGGUUGUACCGGAAUUGCAGAAUGAAGUAAUUUCUUCAACCUAGCAUAUGAUUUGAAACACUGAUUUGAACUACUACAAAGAAUUUGAUUACAUUGUGCGUAUGAAUGUUCAACAAUGCACACCAUCUGUAAUAUCGUUAUCACAUGCACACCAUUAGUGAUGACAAUUUGAGGGUAGUAUUAAAUCUAUCCACCUAAAUCUUAAAUCAACUCAUUGUUACUAAAAAUACAAAUCUUACCUCCACCAAAACAGCCAUUAAUCAUUUUGUACAAAUCAUGGAUAAGGCAUCUACAAUUCUAUCUAUUGAAAUCUUAUGCAAU